AUUGAACGCUGGCGGCAGGCCUAACACAUGCAAGUCGAACGAGUGGCGGACGGGUGAGUAAUGUCUGGGAAACUGCCUGAUGGAGGGGGAUAACUACUGGAAACGGUAGCUAAUACCGCAUACCAUCAGAUGUGCCCAGAUGGGCUUAGCUUGUGGGUGGGGUAAAGGCUCACCAAGGCGACGAUCCCUAGCUGGUCUGAGAGGAUGACCAGCCACACUGGAACUGAGAUACGGUCCAUAAUCCUACGGGAGGCAGCAGUGGGGAAUAUUGCACAAUGGGCGCAAGCCGGAGGCAGCCAUGCCGCGUGUGUGAAGAAGGCCUUCGGGUUGUAAAGUACUUUCAGCGGGGAGGCGUUACUCGCAGAAGAAGCACCGGCUAACUCCGUGCCAGCAGCCGCGGUAAUAC
This 406-nucleotide ribosomal RNA is filed under the name uncultured bacterium. RNAcentral describes it as "partial 16S ribosomal RNA". It matches the Rfam family "Bacterial small subunit ribosomal RNA", at positions 30 to 526 of the family's 1533-position model. The record is from RNAcentral.